AAGUCGUAACAAGGUAUCCGUAGGUGAACCUGCGGAUGGAUCAUUGCAAGAAGUUUUAAUACACUUCGACCCUUCUGUUGAACAUGUUUGCUCUUUUAACGGAGAGAUGAGAGCGCUCGUUCGUUCUCUUCUCUCCUUUCUUUCUACCUUUUUCAUACAAACACUUUGUACUGAAUUGAUGUAAACUAUUUAGACAAGAUACAGCCUAACUGCUGUGUUAUUGUUUUAAAUUUCUUAAAUAAAAAAUUUAAAGCACAACUCUUAGCAACGGAUAUCUUGGCUCCUA
This 286-nucleotide unclassified non-coding RNA is filed under the name fungal sp. RNAcentral's name for it is "partial internal transcribed spacer region". The stretch from base 1 to 46 matches the Rfam family "Eukaryotic small subunit ribosomal RNA", at positions 1786 to 1831 of the family's 1831-position model. Lineage: Eukaryota; Fungi. The record is from RNAcentral.